Molecule: transfer RNA, 65 nt
Filed under: Mekongiana xiangchengensis
Lineage: Eukaryota; Metazoa; Arthropoda; Insecta; Orthoptera; Pyrgomorphidae
Description: tRNA-His
Source: RNAcentral
GCUUAGGUAUUUUAAUUAAAAUGUUGAUUUGUGGAAUCAUUGAUAUGAAUUUUUCAUUGUAGGUC